UUUAACUGAGCGUUCAGUUACUUGACGUAGACCCGAAACCGGGCGACCUACCCAUGAGCAGGAUGAAGCGAAAGUAAAAUUUCGUGGAGGUCCGAACCCACGAGCGUUGAAAAGCUCGGGGAUGACUUGUGGGUAGCGGUGAAAUUCCAAUCGAGCCCGGAGAUAGCUGGUUCUCCCCGAAAUAGCUUUAGGGCUAGCCUCAAGGUGAGAGAUACGGAGGUAGAGCACUGAAUGUCCUAGGGGGUAUUGCACCUACCGAAGACUAUCAAACUCCGAAUGCCGUCAUCUUAUACUUGGGAGUCAGACUGUGGGUGAUAAGAUUCAUAGUCGAAAGGGCAACAGCCCAGAUCGUCAGCUAAGGUCCCUAAAUGUAAGUUAAGUGGUAAAGGAUGUGGGAUUGCACAGACAACCAGGAUGUUGGCUUAGAAGCAGCCACUCAUUCAAAGAGUGCGUAAUAGCUCACUGGUCGAGUGAUCCUGCGCCGAAGAUUUCCGGGGCUAAAACUUACUACCGAAGCUACGGCAUCAGUAAUGAUGGGUAGGGGAGCUUCCCAUACGGGUUGAAGCAUGACCGUAAGGACAUGUGGACAGUAUGGGAGUGAGAAUGUUGGCAUGAGUAGCGAGAUGU
This 627-nucleotide ribosomal RNA is filed under the name Clostridioides difficile. RNAcentral describes it as "partial 23S ribosomal RNA". It matches the Rfam family "Bacterial large subunit ribosomal RNA", at positions 683 to 1317 of the family's 2925-position model. Lineage: Bacteria; Bacillati; Bacillota; Clostridia; Peptostreptococcales; Peptostreptococcaceae. The record is from RNAcentral.